AUUUUCCUAGAGAGAAGGAGAGGUAGAGAGAGAAAGAGUGAAGAGAAGAACAAGAGUGUUGGAGGGGAAGCUUGAGGAAUCAAGUGGGUGACCUAGGAGCUGAAGUGAAGCUAGGAUUAAGGAUAAUGAACUUCAAAGACGUUGUGCAGGAGUAGUCUCGGUGAGUCUUUGCAUGGGGUAUCGGGAGCUU
This is a long non-coding RNA of Medicago truncatula (barrel medic), 190 nucleotides long. RefSeq lists it as uncharacterized. The transcript has 3 exons. The record is from RefSeq and is a predicted model, not a curated record. NCBI's taxonomy places the organism in Eukaryota, Viridiplantae, Streptophyta, Magnoliopsida, Fabales, Fabaceae.